RNAcentral lists this ribosomal RNA (443 nucleotides) under uncultured bacterium. Its description in RNAcentral is "partial 16S ribosomal RNA". It matches the Rfam family "Bacterial small subunit ribosomal RNA", at positions 338 to 795 of the family's 1533-position model. The record is from RNAcentral.
CCUACGGGGGGCAGCAGUGGGGGAUAUUGGACAAUGGGGGCAACCCUGAUCCAGCGACGCCGCGUGAGUGAAGAAGUAUUUCGGUAUGUAAAGCUCUAUUAGCAGGGAAGAAAGAAAUGACGGUACCUGAGUAAGAAGCCCCGGCUAACUACGUGCCAGCAGCCGCGGUCAUACGUAGGGGGCAAGCGUUAUCCGGAAUUACUGGGUGUAAAGGGCGCGUAGACGGUAAUGCAAGUCUGGAGUGAAAGGCGGGGGCUCAACCCCCGGACUGCUCUGGAUACUGUGUAACUGGAGUGCAGGAGAGGCAGGCGGAAUUCCUAGUGUAGCGGUGAAAUGCGUAGAUAUUAGGAGGAACACCAGUGGCGAAGGCGGCCUGCUGGACUGUAACUGACGUUGAGGCUCGAAAGCGUGGGGAGCAAACAGGAUUAGAUACCCCAGUAGUC